AUGUAUGAGGAUGUGUCACGGUGCUUUACAUUCGGCGGUGGCACCCGAUUGACCGUCCUUGGUCAACCCAAGGCCUCCCCCUCAGUCACUCUGUUCCCACCAUCCUCUGAGGAGCUCCAAACCAACAAAGCCACACUGGUGUGUCUCAUCAGCGAUUUCUACCCGGGUGAAGUGGCAGUGGCCUGGAAGGCAGAUGGCUCAACCAUCACUCAGGGUGUGGAGACCACCAAGCCCUCCAAACAGAGCAACAAAAAGUAUGCGGCCAGCAGUUACCUGAGCUUAUCACUUGAAUGGUUGAGAACUUACAAGAUGUACAGCUGCGAAGUCACGCAUGAAGGAAGCAUCGUGGAGAAGACAGUGGUCCCUGCACAGUGUUCUUAG
Carlito syrichta (Philippine tarsier) is the source of this 381-nucleotide non-coding RNA. The record is from the annotation of a RefSeq genome assembly. Lineage: Eukaryota; Metazoa; Chordata; Mammalia; Primates; Tarsiidae.